AUUGAACGCUGGCGGCAGGCUUAACACAUGCAAGUCGAGCGGAGAUGAGGUGCUUGCACCUUAUCUUAGCGGCGGACGGGUGAGUAAUGCUUAGGAAUCUGCCUAUUAGUGGGGGACAACAUUCCGAAAGGAAUGCUAAUACCGCAUACGUCCUACGGGAGAAAGCAGGGGAUCUUCGGACCUUGCGCUAAUAGAUGAGCCUAAGUCGGAUUAGCUAGUUGGUGGGGUAAAGGCCUACCAAGGCGACGAUCUGUAGCGGGUCUGAGAGGAUGAUCCGCCACACUGGGACUGAGACACGGCCCAGACUCCUACGGGAGGCAGCAGUGGGGAAUAUUGGACAAUGGGGGGAACCCUGAUCCAGCCAUGCCGCGUGUGUGAAGAAGGCCUUAUGGUUGUAAAGCACUUUAAGCGAGGAGGAGGCUACUGAGACUAAUACUCUUGGAUAGUGGACGUUACUCGCAGAAUAAGCACCGGCUAACUCUGUGCCAGCAGCCGCGGUAAUACAGAGGGUGCGAGCGUUAAU
RNAcentral lists this ribosomal RNA (523 nucleotides) under uncultured bacterium. Its description in RNAcentral is "bacterial SSU rRNA". It matches the Rfam family "Bacterial small subunit ribosomal RNA", at positions 28 to 545 of the family's 1533-position model. The record is from RNAcentral.